GUAAUAGCUCACUAGUCGAGAGGUCCUGCGCCGAAAAUGUCCGGGGCUGAAACACACUACCGAAGCUUGGGAAUUGACGAAUGUUAAUUGGUAGAGGAGCAUUCUUAACGGGGCGAAGCUGUACCGGAAGGAGCAGUGGACUGUUAAGAAGAGAGAAUGCCGGAAUGAGUAGCGAGAGGAAGGUGAGAAUCCUUCCGGCCGAAUAUCUAAGGUUUCCAGAGUAAAGCUGAUCUGCUCUGGGUAAGUCGGGGCCUAAGGCGAGGUCGAAAGACGUAGUCGAUGGAUAACAGGUAAAGAUUCCUGUACUGUAUCAUAACAGAACUGUGGGGACGCAGACAGAGAGCAUAAGCCGGGAAUGGAAAGACCGGUACAAGCGAGGUAGGAGUGCAUCAGGCAAAUCCGGUGCACAAUCUGAAGACGUGAUGUGGGGCGUAAAGCCGGAAGUAUGUGAGCUGGCUGCCAAGAAAAGCCGCUAUUGUUUAUGAUAUACCCGUACCGUAAACCGACACAGGUGGAUGAGGAGAGAAUCCUAAGGCCGACGGGAGAAGCAUUGUUAAGGAACUCGGCAAAAUGACUCCGUAACUUCGGGAGAAGGAGUGCCAUGUAAAAGUGGCCGCAGAGAAUUGGCCCAAGCAACUGUUUAGCAAAAACACAGGUCUAUGCAAAACCGAAAGGUGAGGUAUAUGGGCUGACGCCUGCCCGGUGCUGGAAGGUUAAGGGGAGAGGUUAGCGCAAGCGAAGCUUUGAACUUAAGCCCCAGUAAACGGCGGCCGUAACUAUAACGGUCCUAAGGUAGCGAAAUUCCUUGUCGGGUAAGUUCCGACCCGCACGAAAGGCGUAAUGAUUUGGGCACUGUCUCAACAAUGCACCCGGUGAAAUUGAAAUACCAGUGAAGAUGCUGGUUACCUGCGCCAGGACGGAAAGACCCCAUGGAGCUUUACUCCAGCUUGAUACUGGGAUUCGGUAUUGCAUGUACAGGAUAGGUGGGAGGCUAAGAAGUGGUAACGCCAGUUGCCAUGGAGCCGCUGUUGGGAUACCACCCUUGCAGUACUGGGUUUCUAACCAGCAGCCGUGAUCCGGCUGGGGGACAAUGUCAGGUGGGGAGUUUGACUGGGGCGGUCGCCUCCGAAAGGGUAUCGGAGGCGCUCAAAGGUUCCCUCAGAAUGGUUGGAAACCAUUCGAAGAGUGCAAAGGCAGAAGGGAGCUUGACUGCGACACCGACGGGUGGAGCAGGUACGAAAGUAGGACUUAGUGAUCCGGUGGUAUAAAGUGGGAUUGCCAUCGCUCAACGGAUAAAAGCUACCCUGGGGAUAACAGGCUUAUCACUCCCAAGAGUUCACAUCGACGGAGUGGUUUGGCACCUCGAUGUCGGCUCAUCGCAUCCUGGGGCUGAAGUAGGUCCCAAGGGUUGGGCUGUUCGCCCAUUAAAGCGGUACGCGAGCUGGGUUCAGAACGUCGUGAGACAGUUCGGUCCCUAUCCGGCGUGGGCGUAAGAUAUUUGAGAGGAGCUGUCCUUAGUACGAGAGGACCGGGAUGGACUGGCCGCUGGUGUAUCUGUUGUCUUACCAAAGGCAUAGCAGAGUAGCCAAGCCGGGAAGGGAUAAACGCUGAAGGCAUCUAAGCGUGAAGCCCCCCUCAAGAUGAGAUAUCCCAUAACGUCAAGUUAGUAAGACCCCUUGAAGACGACGAGGUAGAUAGGGCAGAGGUGGAAGUGUGGUAACACAUGGAGCUGACUGUUACUAAUAGGUCGAGGGCAUAACCAA
This 1763-nucleotide ribosomal RNA is filed under the name human gut metagenome. Its description in RNAcentral is "bacterial LSU rRNA". It matches the Rfam family "Bacterial large subunit ribosomal RNA", at positions 1134 to 2925 of the family's 2925-position model. The record is from RNAcentral.